This 583-nucleotide ribosomal RNA is filed under the name uncultured eubacterium OCG8. Its description in RNAcentral is "bacterial SSU rRNA". It matches the Rfam family "Bacterial small subunit ribosomal RNA", at positions 338 to 916 of the family's 1533-position model. The record is from RNAcentral.
CCUACGGGAGGCAGCAGCUAAGAAUAUUCCGCAAUGGACGAAAGUCUGACGGAGCGACGCCGCGUGGAUGAUGAAGGCCGAAAGGUUGUAAAGUCCUUUUGCUGGGGAAGAAUAAGUGUGGGAGGGAAUGCCCGCAUGAUGACAUGAACCGGCGAAUAAGCCCCGGCCAACUACGUGCCAGCAGCCGCGGUAACACGUAGGGGGCGAGCGUUGUUCGGAAUUACUGGGCGUAAAGGGCAUGUAGGCGGUCUGGUAAGCCUGGCGUGAAAGGCCACAGCUCAACUGUGGGAUUGCGUUGGGAACUGCUGGGCUUGAGUUAUGGAGAGGGAGCUAGAAUUCCUGGUGUAGGGGUGAAAUCUGUAGAUAUCAGGAAGAAUACCGAUGGCGAAGGCAAGCUCCUGGCCGAUGACUGACGCUGAGGUGCGAAAGUGUGGGGAUCAAACAGGAUUAGAUACCCUGGUAGUCCACACUGUAAACGAUGUGCACUAGGUGCUGGGGCGGUAGCUUCAGUGCCGGAGCGAACGUGGUAAGUGCACCGCCUGGGGAGUAUGCUCGCAAGGGUGAAACUCAAAUGAAUUGACGG